This 425-nucleotide ribosomal RNA is filed under the name uncultured bacterium. Its description in RNAcentral is "bacterial SSU rRNA". It matches the Rfam family "Bacterial small subunit ribosomal RNA", at positions 356 to 773 of the family's 1533-position model. The record is from RNAcentral.
GGGGAAUAUUGGACAAUGGGCGCAAGCCUGAUCCAGCCAUACCGCGUGGGUGAAGAAGGCCUUCGGGUUGUAAAGCCCUUUUGUUGGGAAAGAAAUCCUGUCGAUUAAUACUCGGUGGGGAUGACGGUACCCAAAGAAUAAGCACCGGCUAACUUCGUGCCAGCAGCCGCGGUAAUACGAAGGGUGCAAGCGUUACUCGGAAUUACUGGGCGUAAAGCGUGCGUAGGUGGUGGUUUAAGUCUGCUGUGAAAGCCCUGGGCUCAACCUGGGAAUUGCAGUGGAUACUGGAUCACUAGAGUGUGGUAGAGGGAUGCGGAAUUUCUGGUGUAGCAGUGAAAUGCGUAGAGAUCAGAAGGAACAUCCGUGGCGAAGGCGGCAUCCUGGGCCAACACUGACACUGAGGCACGAAAGCGUGGGGAGCAAAC